RNAcentral lists this transfer RNA (68 nucleotides) under marine eukaryotic metagenome. It matches the Rfam family "tRNA". From Rfam's summary of the family: Transfer RNA (tRNA) molecules are approximately 80 nucleotides in length. Their secondary structure includes four short double-helical elements and three loops (D, anti-codon, and T loops). The record is from RNAcentral.
CGAGGUGGCUUAAUGGCAAAGCAACACAUUCGUAACGUGUAGAUUGUGGGUUCGAUUCCCACCCUCGG